GGGAAGAGAACUGCGUUGGAGCUGCGGCCCUGAGACUCUCAUUAAUUAGACUGCAGGGCAGGACCACCAGUUCCCUGAAGCUAUCUUUUGUUGAUCUUGCUGUUUUAAGACAAAAUUAUCUCGGAACAAAUUUUCUUCUAUUUUUAGGUGCACUGUGAAUUGUGAAACUGGAGUCUCAGUGCUUGUUUCGUAAACAUGCCAGAGACCGUCUCCGGAGACAGACAGACGGAUGCGCCGGCUGUGGGCAGUCUAUGGUAGCAUGAGUUGCGUCGUGAAGCAAAUUGAAGUGGGCGCUGACUUUGCCGGGAUGUUGCCCAAGUGCCCGCCAUCACCCAACAGGAGCAAACCACAGAAGUUUUAAAUAAAGCAGAUUUUCAGGAAAAAGAAGACAAUGUAUAAAGGGAGAGGAUGAAGAGGGUGCAUGAUUCUAUGGAGAGGAGGAAGAAGAGAACAAGAAAGAGGAAAAAGGGAGUGGGGGAG
RNAcentral lists this long non-coding RNA (480 nucleotides) under Chinchilla lanigera (long-tailed chinchilla). Its description in RNAcentral is "lncRNA (ENSCLAG00000026650.1)". The record is from RNAcentral. Lineage: Eukaryota; Metazoa; Chordata; Mammalia; Rodentia; Chinchillidae.